Molecule: ribosomal RNA, 396 nt
Filed under: uncultured bacterium
Lineage: Bacteria
Description: bacterial SSU rRNA
Rfam family: Bacterial small subunit ribosomal RNA
Source: RNAcentral
GACGAACGCUGGCGGCGUGCUUAACACAUGCAAGUCGAGCGGUAAGGCCCUUUCGGGGGUACACGAGCGGCGAACGGGUGAGUAACACGUGGGUGACCUGCCCUCAGCUCUGGGAUAAGCCUGGGAAACCGGGUCUAAUACCGGAUAUGACUCCAUGACGCAUGUUGUGGGGUGGAAAGCCUUGUGCGGCUGAGGAUGGGCCCGCGGCCUAUCAGCUUGUUGGUGGGGUGAUGGCCUACCAAGGCGACGACGGGUAGCCGGCCUGAGAGGGCGACCGGCCACACUGGGGACUGAGACACGGCCCAGACUCCUACGGGAGGCAGCAGUGGGGAAUCUUGCGCAAUGGGCGAAAGCCUGACGCAGCGACGCCGCGUGAGGGAUGACGGCCUGGUGUAA